Molecule: ribosomal RNA, 495 nt
Filed under: uncultured bacterium
Lineage: Bacteria
Description: partial 16S ribosomal RNA
Rfam family: Bacterial small subunit ribosomal RNA
Source: RNAcentral
GACGAACGCUGGCGGCGUGCCUAAUACAUGCAAGUAGAACGCUGAAGGAGGAGCUUGCUCUUCUGGAUGAGUUGCGAACGGGUGAGUAACGCGUAGGUAACCUGCCUGGUAGCGGGGGAUAACUAUUGGAAACGAUAGCUAAUACCGCAUAACAGUAGAUGUUGCAUGACAUUUGCUUAAAAGGUGCAAUUGCACCACUACCAGAUGGACCUGCGUUGUAUUAGCUAGUUGGUGGGGUAACGGCUCACCAAGGCGACGAUACAUAGCCGACCUGAGAGGGUGAUCGGCCACACUGGGACUGAGACACGGCCCAGACUCCUAAGGGAGGCAGCAGUAGGGAAUCUUCGGCAAUGGACGGAAGUCUGACCGAGCAACGCCGCGUGAGUGAAGAAGGUUUUCGGAUCGUAAAGCUCUGUUGUAAGAGAAGAACGAGUGUGAGAGUGGAAAGUUCACACUGUGACGGUAUCUUACCAGAAAGGGACGGCUAACUACGUG